This is a long non-coding RNA of Osmerus eperlanus (European smelt), 296 nucleotides long. RefSeq lists it as uncharacterized. The record is from RefSeq and is a predicted model, not a curated record. Lineage: Eukaryota; Metazoa; Chordata; Actinopteri; Osmeriformes; Osmeridae. The transcript has 3 exons.
CCGGAACGCGAUGACAUCACACAGCAGGGUUCUCUCGCCUCCGUAUCCCUAGCAACAGGUCGACCGACUGGCCGGCGUCGGUGAUUGUGUCUGUCCCGGGAGUGUUACAGAGAGAGAGUGCCCACGAGCCUGACAGGAAAUGCCCCUGUUCUACUUCCUGUAUCCUGUAGCCUUCCAGACCAUAACCUGGAGUCUGUUACCAAGAGCAACAUCACUCUACCUCCUCCUUAUUGGUUUGACAAUUCAGCCACAGUCCAGCAGUUCCUCUAAUUACUAGGGAUCGUUGUUGUGAGGUG